GGGCUGAAGGAUGGAGACGUCUAGGCCC
This 28-nucleotide unclassified non-coding RNA is filed under the name synthetic construct. RNAcentral describes it as "IRES RNA (28-MER) from synthetic construct (PDB 2NC0, chain A)". The record is from RNAcentral.